GGGGGGGGGGGGGGGGGGGGGGGGGGGGGGGGGGGCGGGGGGGGGGGGGGGGGGGGGGGGCGGGGGGGGGGGGCGGGGGGCGGGGGGGGGGGGGGUGGAGCGGAGGCUGCGUUUUCGGGGGGGGGAAGGGGGGGAAACUUACGCUAAUACCGCAUACGACCUACGGGUGAAAGCAGGGGAUCUUCGGACCUUGCGCGAUUGAAUGAGCCGAUGUCGGAUUAGCUAGUUGGCGGGGUAAAGGCCCACCAAGGCGACGAUCCGUAGCUGGUCUGAGAGGAUGAUCAGCCACACUGGAACUGAGACACGGUCCAGACUCCUACGGGAGGCAGCAGUGGGGAAUAUUGGACAAUGGGCGCAAGCCUGAUCCAGCCAUACCGCGUGGGUGAAGAAGGCCUUCGGGUUGUAAAGCCCUUUUGUUGGGAAAGAAAAGCAGCAGGUUAAUACCCCGCUGUUCUGACGGUACCCAAAGAAUAAGCACCGGCUAACUUCGUG
RNAcentral lists this ribosomal RNA (492 nucleotides) under uncultured bacterium. RNAcentral's name for it is "partial 16S ribosomal RNA". The stretch from base 73 to 492 matches the Rfam family "Bacterial small subunit ribosomal RNA", at positions 39 to 507 of the family's 1533-position model. The record is from RNAcentral.